This 209-nucleotide ribosomal RNA is filed under the name uncultured eukaryote. Its description in RNAcentral is "partial 18S ribosomal RNA". It matches the Rfam family "Eukaryotic small subunit ribosomal RNA", at positions 604 to 819 of the family's 1831-position model. The record is from RNAcentral.
UUAAAGUUGUUGCAGUUAAAAAGCUCGUAGUUGAACCUUGGGCCUGGCUGGCCGGUCCGCCUCACCGCGUGCACUGGUCCGGCCGGGCCUUUCCUCCUGGGGAGCCGCAUGCCCUUCACUGGGUGUGUCGGGGAACCAGGACUUUUACUUUGAAAAAAUUAGAGUGUUCAAAGCAGGCCUAUGCUCGAAUACAUUAGCAUGGAAUAAUG